CGAGGGGUAACAUAGUUGCUUGCAACUGAUGACGACCGGCGCACGGGUGCGUAACGCGUAUAGUACCUACCUUAUAGUAAGGGAUAGCCCAGAGAAAUUUGGAUUAAUACCUUAUAGUAUCUUAAGUGAGCCUUCACUAAGGAUUAAAGAUUUAUCGCUAUAAGAUGGCUAUGCGUUCUAUUAGCUAGUUGGUAUGGUAACGGCAUACCAAGGCUACGAUAGAUAGGGGUCCUGAGAGGGAGAUCCCCCACACUGGUACUGAGACACGGACCAGACUCCUACGGGAGGCAGCAGUGAGGAAUAUUGGACAAUGGAGGCAACUCUGAUCCAGCCAUGCCGCGUGUAGGAAGACUGCCCUAUGGGUUGUAAACUACUUUUAUAGAGGAAGAAACCA
This 394-nucleotide ribosomal RNA is filed under the name Aquimarina sp. AU493_Ted2_MB20NH4. Its description in RNAcentral is "bacterial SSU rRNA". It matches the Rfam family "Bacterial small subunit ribosomal RNA", at positions 63 to 453 of the family's 1533-position model. Lineage: Bacteria; Pseudomonadati; Bacteroidota; Flavobacteriia; Flavobacteriales; Flavobacteriaceae. The record is from RNAcentral.